This 507-nucleotide ribosomal RNA is filed under the name uncultured bacterium. RNAcentral describes it as "bacterial SSU rRNA". It matches the Rfam family "Bacterial small subunit ribosomal RNA", at positions 9 to 507 of the family's 1533-position model. The record is from RNAcentral.
CGAGUUUGAUCAUGGCUCAGAUUGAACGCUGGCGGAAUGCUUUACACAUGCAAGUCGAGCGGCAGCGCGGGGGCAACCCUGGCGGCGAGCGGCGAACGGGUGAGUAACAUAUCGGAACGUACCCAGUCGUGGGGGAUAACUAUCCGAAAGGAUAGCUAAUACCGCAUACGUCCUGAGGGAGAAAGGCGGGGGAUCGCAAGACCUCGCGCGAUUGGAGCGGCCGAUAUCGGAUUAGCUAGUUGGUGGGGUAAAGGCUCACCAAGGCGACGAUCCGUAGCGGGUCUGCGAGGACGACCCGCCACACUGGAACUGAGACACGGUCCAGACUCCUACGGGAGGCAGCAGGUGGGGUAAUUUUGGACAAUGGGGGCAACCCUGAUCCAGCCAUUCCGCGUGAGUGAAGAAGGCCUUCGGGUUGUAAAGCUCUUUCAGCAGGAACGAAACGGUGGUCCCUAAUACGGACUACUAAUGACGGUACCUGAAGAAGAAGCACCGGCUAACUCCGUG